UAGGGAAUCUUCCGCAAUGGGCGAAAGCCUGACGGAGCAACGCCGCGUGAGUGAUGAAGGUCUUCGGAUCGUAAAACUCUGUUAUUAGGGAAGAACAAAUGUGUAAGUAACUAUGCACGUCUUGACGGUACCUAAUCAGAAAGCCACGGCUAACUACGUGCCAGCAGCCGCGGUAAUACGUAGGUGGCAAGCGUUAUCCGGAAUUAUUGGGCGUAAAGCGCGCGUAGGCGGUUUUUUAAGUCUGAUGUGAAAGCCCACGGCUAAACCGUGGAGGGUCAUUGGAAACUGGAAAACUUGAGUGCAGAAGAGGAAAGUUGAAUUCCAUGUGUAGCGGGGAAAUGCGGAAAGAUAUGGAAGAACACCAGUGGCGAAGGCGACUUUCUGGUCUGUAACUGACGCUGAUGUGCGAAAGCGUGGGGAUCAAACAGG
RNAcentral lists this ribosomal RNA (429 nucleotides) under Actinomycetes bacterium. RNAcentral's name for it is "Actinobacteria bacterium partial 16S ribosomal RNA". It matches the Rfam family "Bacterial small subunit ribosomal RNA", at positions 355 to 776 of the family's 1533-position model. Lineage: Bacteria; Bacillati; Actinomycetota; Actinomycetes. The record is from RNAcentral.